RNAcentral lists this non-coding RNA (231 nucleotides) under unclassified sequences. RNAcentral's name for it is "RT-2 RNA". It matches the Rfam family "RT-2 RNA". Rfam says of the family: Coriobacteriales (Actinobacteria), Clostridiales (Firmicutes). The record is from Rfam by way of RNAcentral.
CACGGUCAGACAAAGUAACUCAAUCCCUGAGCGAAAUCCGUACCAUUACAGAAGGAGGGCUUUAGACACCCCUGUCCUAUGGACUAAAACACCUCUUUAAUGCGGCCGUCUGGACGCUGCUUGCAUGGCGGGAAAUCGCGCUUAUCCCGUUUCAUAGACGGCGCCGCUACGCAGUUAGAACGCGCGCCCACAAAUUUACUGUAUAAGGAGGACAAUUUUUAAUGACAAGCG